GACGAACCGAGCGAACGUUGUUCGGAAUCACUGGGCUUAAAGGGCGCGUAGGCGGGCCGCCAAGUCUGUGGUGAAAUCCCCCGGCUCAACCGGGGAACGGCCGCGGAUACUGGAGGUCUCGAGGGAGGUAGGGGCAUGCGGAACUACGGGUGGAGCGGUGAAAUGCGUUGAUAUCCGUAGGAACUCCGGUGGCGAAGGCGGCGUGCUGGACCUCUUCUGACGCUGAGGCGCGAAAGCCAGGGGAGCGAACGGG
This 253-nucleotide ribosomal RNA is filed under the name uncultured bacterium. Its description in RNAcentral is "partial 16S ribosomal RNA". It matches the Rfam family "Bacterial small subunit ribosomal RNA", at positions 524 to 776 of the family's 1533-position model. The record is from RNAcentral.